GACGAACGCUGGCGGCGUGCUUAACACAUGCAAGUCGAACGGAAAGGCCCUGCUUUUGUGGGGUGCUCGAGUGGCGAACGGGUGAGUAACACGUGAGUAACCUGCCCUUGACUUUGGGAUAACUUCAGGAAACUGGGGCUAAUACCGGAUAGGAGCUCCUGCUGCAUGGUGGUGGUUGGAAAGUGUCGGCGUUUGUGGAUGGACUCGCGGGUUAUGAGCUUGUUGGUGGGGUAGUUGCUUACGACGGCUUUGACGGGUAGCCGGCCUUGGAGGGUGGACGGGGACCUUGGGCCUGCGGGACGGACCAGAAGCGUACGGGAGGCAGCAGGCGGAAACCUGGCGGAACGGGGCGAAGCGAGUUGCAGAAACCUCGGGUUCGGGAUGCCGGCCUACGGGUUGUAAACAGAUUUGGCAUGAGAUGAACAGUGAGUGACGGUAAUGGGUAAGGAAGCAACGGCUAACUACGUG
This 468-nucleotide ribosomal RNA is filed under the name uncultured bacterium. RNAcentral's name for it is "partial 16S ribosomal RNA". It matches the Rfam family "Bacterial small subunit ribosomal RNA", at positions 28 to 507 of the family's 1533-position model. The record is from RNAcentral.